ACGAACGCUGGCGGCGUGCCUAAUACAUGCAAGUCGAACGGCUUUUCUAUGGAAGCUUGCUUCCACUGAGAAGAUAGUGGCGAACGGGUGAGUAACACGUGGGUAACCUGCCCAUAAGAGGGGGAUAACAUCCGGAAACGGGUGCUAAUACCGCAUAGUUUUCUUGAUCGCAUGAUUGAGAAAGGAAAGACGGCCUUUGUGCUGUCGCUUAUGGAUGGACCCGCGGCGUAUUAGUUAGUUGGUGAGGUAACGGCUCACCAAGACGAUGAUACGUAGCCGACCUGAGAGGGUGAUCGGCCACAUUGGGACUGAGACACGGCCCAAACUCCUACGGGAGGCAGCAGUAGGGAAUCUUCCGCAAUGGACGAAAGUCUGACGGAGCAACGCCGCGUGAGUGAAGAAAGGUUUUCGGAUCGUAAAACUCUGUUGUCAGAGAAGAACAAGUUGGAGAGUAACUGCUCCAGCCUUGACGGUAUCUGACCAGAAAGCCACGGCUAACUACGUGCCAGCAGCGGC
RNAcentral lists this ribosomal RNA (516 nucleotides) under uncultured bacterium. RNAcentral describes it as "bacterial SSU rRNA". It matches the Rfam family "Bacterial small subunit ribosomal RNA", at positions 29 to 518 of the family's 1533-position model. The record is from RNAcentral.